GGCCUUAUGGUCUAGUAGCAUGAUUCUUCCUUUGGGUAUUCCUUAGUGUCCACAAUUGGAAGAGGUCCUGGGUUCAAUUCCCAGUGAGGCCC
Molecule: non-coding RNA, 92 nt
Organism: Crassisporium funariophilum
Lineage: Eukaryota; Fungi; Basidiomycota; Agaricomycetes; Agaricales; Crassisporiaceae
Source: the annotation of a GenBank genome assembly